RNAcentral lists this unclassified non-coding RNA (303 nucleotides) under Hevea brasiliensis (rubber tree). The record is from RNAcentral. Lineage: Eukaryota; Viridiplantae; Streptophyta; Magnoliopsida; Malpighiales; Euphorbiaceae.
GGAAAACCAAAUCCUUCAAGAACGAGUUCACCUACGAACAACGAUUUGAGGAGUCGUUCGAAGUCUUGGCCAAGUAUCCCGAUCGAGUUCCCGUAAUUGUUGAGAGAUAUGAGAAAUGUGAACUUCCUGAGAUGGAAAAGAAGAAGUACCUCAUUCCCCGAGACAUGUCUGUUGGCCAAUUCAUCCAUGUUCUAAGCACCAGGCUUCAUCUAGCACCUGGAAAAGCUCUCUUUGUAUUUGUAAAGAAUACUUUGCCUCAAACAGCUAGCUUAAUGAGUACAGUGUACGAGUCGUACAAGGACG